GCUUAUUUUGGUCAUCUAUCGCUUUAAAAAUCCCUUGCCCUUCCCUGUGGAACCAACUGCCAUUAACAGUCAUCAACAGUAAUAAGGUUGAAGCAACCUCUGCUCCAGAGUAUCUGACGAAGUGUGUAUUACACACGAAAGCUCAUACCUUGAAAGUUUAUAUUUACAGUGGUACCUCGGAUUACAUACGCUUCAGGUUACAGACUCCGUUAACCCAGAAAUAGUACCUUGGGUUAAGUACUUUGCUUCAGGAUAAGAACAGAAAUCGUGCUCCGGCGGCACGGCAGCAGCGCGAGGCCCUAUUAGCUAAAGUUGUGCUUCAGGUUAAGAACAGUUUCAGGUUAAGAACGGACCUCUGGAACGAAUUAAGUACUUAACCUGAGGUACCACUGUAGUUGAUCUUUAAGGUGCCACUGGAAUUAUUUUAAAAUAUUUUUUUCAUCUUUCAUCUUGUUAUUUAUUAUGACUAUGACAGAUCAACUCAGCUAUCCACCUGAAUCAGUAAACUCCAUCUUCCGUUCUGCAGAUCACGCAAUGGAGGGUGGGGCGAGGGGGCAGGGCCGGAAAGGGACCCACAGAUCGACCGCAAUCUACCAAAACCUCCCGAGGAUCUACCAGUAGAUCGUGAUCGACUUGUUGGGCAUCCCUGGGCUAGAGCAUCCUUUCUCAACCUGCUUCCCUGCAGAUGUUUUGGACUUCAGUUUCCAUGAAUCUCAGCUGCUACAGCCCAGUUGGUGAAGCCUGGAAAAGAAGAUAGCAGGCAUCUGUUCUAUGGUCACAUCUAUAGCAGUUAAGUUGCUUCCUAAAUGCUGUAAGUGCCAACCCCAUGCUUGGGCUAAGAUUGGAUAUUGUGAAUUUUUGCUGUGGUCAUUACCGAAAGCUGUAUAUUAGGACUGGAUUCAAAAUCUAUUCAAUUGCAAAAGAAUUGGCUACAUCUGGUAUUCCACUUAUUGCAAAUCUGUUCCCUCAUUCAUGGGCAUUAUGUACACGGUGAGCAGAACUAGAAUAGCCUAAUGUUCCUUGCAGGUUGUUGUGGUUUUUUUGAGACAAGCUGAAUUAGAAGAUUAUAUUGGUUUGCUCCAUUACCCCCUUUGCCUAGAUAAUGAUGGACAAGUUAAGGAUAAUAUCACACCUAUCGGGUGGUUCACACAUAGCAUACCCAUCAGUAGAUGUUGCAGUCAUGGAGCGAUGUAUGAAUGGGAUAUCGGAGAUGUAACAGAACUUUCAUAUAAUCUCAUACAUAUAGUCAGCUCAUAGAUUCUUCUGCCAGUCAUCAGGCGUCAGGCUGCCAAAAAAGCCCUUCCGUCUGUGGUUCAAUGCUGUAAGCAGAAACAGGCAUGGCUUGACAGUAAUUAACUCUAUUGCCCAGUAACCAAGGAGACAGCUCAUGGCACAUCCGUCAGCUAAGCAAGUCAGUUGCAGAAGCUAAAGUUCCGUCCUCUCUUCCCCUGUAUUUAUGCAUUUUUUCGCCGUGACUCAGCUUUUCUUAAUUGUUCUAGCCUUUCCUCGACUCUUCUUUCCUGCGCUGAGAAGGGGGAUGGGGAAGGAGCUGAAUCAGAAGUGUAUUGCAGGACAGGAGACACAGCCCCUGCUUCUCCUCUAGGAGUCUGUGGCUGGUAGCCUCUCCCCUUCCCCCUCACUCUCUGCUGAUGAUUUCUCCCUGCUCCACCAGUCUGAACCCGGUUCGAAGUCUGCUUCCCUCUCAGGUGCCUCUUGGACUAUUGGCUGCCACCUCUCUUCCUCUUCCAGCCAAUCCCUGGCAUCAAACCUGGUUCCCAUUUGAAUACACAUCACUUGAUGAUUUAGUACAGCACUCAGUGAUGCUUUGCCUAUAUGAACGGGCUACCACAGAGAUCGUGCCAUAGAGAAAGUGUUGCCUUCAGUGUCAAAGCACAUGCUUUGAAUGUCCUUGCUUCCUUUCUUUUUUUAAUAAUUUUUAUUCAUUUUCCAAACAAGUUUUAUACAAUCAACAAAUUGUUUUACACUCAUGCUUCAAUUUUUGACUUCCCUCAGUUUCUCUGACAAUCUUUCAAAAAAUUUCUAUUUAUUAACGCAUUUCUAAACAUGAUAUUGCCUUUCCCCACUCCUUUUCCUCUUACUCUCUUUUUUGCAGUAUUUCUUACUAUUUCACAGAGUCUCUUCAAAACCAACAAGCAUUGUCUGUACAUCACAUAUAUUUUUCAGAUAUUCUAUAAAUUUCCCCCAGUCCUCGAUAAACUUUUGGUCUUUCUGGUAUCGAAUCUUCCCAGUCAAUUUGUCCAAUUCUGCAUAUUCGGUCAAUUUCCUUCUCCAUUCUUCCACUGUUGGCAUUUCUUCCUGUUUCCAUCUUUGGGCCAGAAGUAUCCUUGCGGCAGUCACUGCAUAUUGAAACAGUUUACAGUCUCUCUUAUUGAUUUCGUUUCCUACCAUUCCUAAUAGAAAGGCUUCUGGUUUUUUAACGAACGUAUAUUUCAACAUCUUUUUCAAUUCAUUGUAUAUCCUUUCCCAGAAGUCUUUCACCUUUUUACAUUCCCACCACAUAUGAUAGAAAGUACCUUCUUUUUCUUUACAUUUCCAACACUUAUUGCAUGUUUUAUACAUUUUGGCCAGUUUAACUGGCGUUAUAUACCAUCUGUAAAACAUUUUCAUUACAUUUUCUUGAAUGUCCUUGCUUCAAUUCUCAGCAUCUCCAUCUUAUGACUGGGAAGGAUUCCAGUCCAAAAACCAAUAAUAAUAAUAAUAAUAAUAAUAAUAAUAAUAACAACAGUACAGUCAUACCUCAUGUUGAAGGGGCAUAUUACAAUAUAAUUGUUAUUAUUUUUAUCCCAAAAGGGGAGGUUUCUACACCAACCAGAAGGACACGCUUAAAUGUUACAGUGCAAAUGGGCCUCUCGUUGGAAUGUCUAGGCUUAGGUGGUGAAAGAUAAGAGCAAGGUUGAAUGUGUGUUAUUCUGGCCCCAGACCGGGGGGGGGGGGAGACUGAAGACAAGGAGGUGAGUUGAAAGGGAGGAGGGUAAUGCAAGAGACAAAGCCCCA
This 3015-nucleotide long non-coding RNA is filed under the name Podarcis lilfordi (Lilford's wall lizard). Lineage: Eukaryota; Metazoa; Chordata; Lepidosauria; Squamata; Lacertidae. The record is from RNAcentral.